ACUCCUACGGGAGGCAGCAGUGGGGAAUAUUGCACAAUGGGGGAAACCCUGAUGCAGCCAUGCCGCGUGUGUGAAGAAGGCCUUGGGUUGUAAAGCACUUUCAGUAGGGAGGAAGGUAGUGUAGUUAACACCUGCAUUAUUUGACGUUACCUACAGAAGAAGCACCGGCUAACUCCGUGCCAGCAGCCGCGGUAAUACGGAGGGUGCGAGCGUUAAUCGGAAUUACGUGGGCGUAAAGCGCAUGCAGGCGGCCUGUUAAGUCAGAUGUGAAAGCCCGGGGCUUAACCUCGGAAUUGCAUUUGAAACUGGCAGGCUAGAGUCUUGUAGAGGGGUUAGAAUUUCAGGUGUAGCGGUGAAAUGCGUAGAGAUCUGAAGGAAUACCAGUGGCGAAGGCGGCCCCUGGACAAAGACUGACGCUCAGAUGCGAAAGCGUGGGAGCAAACAGGAUUAG
This 451-nucleotide ribosomal RNA is filed under the name uncultured bacterium. RNAcentral's name for it is "bacterial SSU rRNA". It matches the Rfam family "Bacterial small subunit ribosomal RNA", at positions 335 to 781 of the family's 1533-position model. The record is from RNAcentral.